UCCCUUUUGAAACAUGAUCCUAAUGUUAUUGAUGUCCAUGUUUAGCCAACUCAACUCUUGUUAUGCCACCCAUUGGGGGCUUUGAUGAGAUCCCACAGAGGGAUUAAUGUUUAAGUUAUGUUUAUGUAUAGUGCAUGCACAGGUUGAGUUUGGUGUAUGUUGAAAAGGAAAAGUUUUAAUUUUUAUGUAUGUUGUUGAUCAUGUAUGGGAUUAAUCAGGUUCACAGGAUGUAUGUUAGGCUUGCUACGGGUCCCGGCGGCCUUAAGUCGACCCGGAUCCUAGCGCCGGUAGCGGUCCGAUUUUCGGGUCGUUACA
This 315-nucleotide long non-coding RNA is filed under the name Manihot esculenta (cassava). RNAcentral's name for it is "long non-coding RNA (MESC_LNC001520)". The record is from RNAcentral. Lineage: Eukaryota; Viridiplantae; Streptophyta; Magnoliopsida; Malpighiales; Euphorbiaceae.